AGAGUUUGAUCCUGGCUNAGAUUGAACGCUGGCGGCAUGCCUUACACAUGCAAGUCGAACGGCAGCACGGACUUCGGUCUGGUGGCGAGUGGCGAACGGGUGAGUAAUGUAUCGGAACGUACCUUUCAGUGGGGGAUAACGUAGCGAAAGUUACGCUAAUACCGCAUAUUCUGUGAGCAGGAAAGCAGGGGAUCGCAAGACCUUGCGCUGAUUGAGCGGCCGAUAUCAGAUUAGCUAGUUGGUGGGGUAAAGGCCUACCAAGGCUACGAUCUGUAGCGGGUCUGAGAGGAUGAUCCGCCACACUGGAACUGAGACACGGUCCAGACUCCUACGGGAGGCAGCAGUGGGGAAUUUUGGACAAUGGGGGCAACCCUGAUCCAGCCAUGCCGCGUGAGUGAAGAAGGCCUUCGGGUUGUAAAGCUCUUUCGGCCGGGAAGAAAUCGCAUAGGCUAAUACCCUGUGUGGAUGACGGUACCGGAAUAAGAAGCACCGGCUAACUACGUGCCAGCAGCCGCGGUAAUACGUAGGGUGCGAGCGUUAAUCGGAAUUACUGGGCGUAAAGCGUGCGCAGGCGGUUUAGUAAGACAGGCGUGAAAUCCCCGGGCUCAACCUGGGAACUGCGCUUGUGACUGCUAAGCUAGAGUACGGCAGAGGGGGGUGGAAUUCCACGUGUAGCAGUGAAAUGCGUAGAGAUGUGGAGGAACACCGAUGGCGAAGGCAGCCCCCUGGGCCGAUACUGACGCUCAUGC
This 749-nucleotide ribosomal RNA is filed under the name uncultured bacterium. RNAcentral describes it as "bacterial SSU rRNA". It matches the Rfam family "Bacterial small subunit ribosomal RNA", at positions 8 to 752 of the family's 1533-position model. The record is from RNAcentral.